CCUACGGGUGGCAGCAGUCGAGAAUCAUUCACAAUGGGGGAAACCCUGAUGGUGCGACGCCGCGUGGGGGAAUGAAGGUCUUCGGAUUGUAAACCCCUGUCAUGUGGGAGCAAAUUAAAAAGAUAGUACCACAAGAGGAAGAGACGGCUAACUCUGUGCCAGCAGCCGCGGUAAUACAGAGGUCUCAAGCGUUGUUCGGAAUCACUGGGCGUAAAGCGUCCGUAGGCUGUUUCGUAAGUCGUGUGUGAAAGGCGCGGGCUCAACCCGCGGACGGCACAUGAUACUGCGAGACUAGAGUAAUGGAGGGGGAACCGGAAUUCUCGGUGUAGCAGUGAAAUGCGUAGAUAUCGAGAGGAACACUCGUGGCGAAGGCAGGUUACUGGACAUUAACUGACGCUGAGGCACGAAGGCCAGGGGAGCGAAAGGGAUUAGAUACCCCAGUAGUC
This 446-nucleotide ribosomal RNA is filed under the name uncultured bacterium. RNAcentral describes it as "partial 16S ribosomal RNA". It matches the Rfam family "Bacterial small subunit ribosomal RNA", at positions 338 to 795 of the family's 1533-position model. The record is from RNAcentral.